CCAGGCGCUGCUGCGCCCGAGUCGAGGGGAGCGGCGCGGGAAGGGCAGCGAGCCGCCGACGCCCCUGCCUCAUCUCAAAGGCCACGCGAGCGAGCGAACGAACGAACGCGAGUGACUUGCUANGGACGACCCCCGCCCCCCGCCCAGCCCGCUGGCUGCCGCCGAGGAAAGGGCCCGGCCGGCCCCGCCUAGCUGGGCACCCCUGCGCGCUCCUACCUGCCCACCCGGCAGGCCCCUCUCUCGCAGCCGCCCGGCCGCCCGACGGGCACCUGGGGACACCUCCCUCCUUCCCUCCCUCCGUNCUGCCCGGCCCGGCCUGGCCCGGCCCGGCGCGGCGCCUAUGUACCCCCGAUCGCGCACCCACCUCCCUGCGACCGCGGCAGCUCUCAUGGCGAAGGCGGCGGUAGCAGCGACAUCUGGGACGACGCGGCGGCGGCGCUGCCUUCGGGGCCGAGGGCGGGAGGAGGGCGUCCGCCGCCUCCGCCGGCGCCGGCCGGGAGGGCAGGGGAAGCGGGGCGGCGCACGCGGGAAGGCACCGGCGGGCGGCGGCGGCGAGGGGGGCAGGGAUGUCGCGAGACGGGAAAAGCCGCUUGGCCCCUCCCGCCCGGCACCUCUUAAAAGGGCAACGGCGGCGGCCGGCGGGGCGGCCGCGGGCAGGGUCCGAGGCCAGGAGCAGGAUCGCCGCCGCCGCGGGCAGCGAGGUGCGCGGCAGGGACGCGGCAGGGAAAGAGAGCAACAGCGCGAGCCUCGCGGUCGUGGCGCCCUCGGGUACUAUGUUGGCAACCGCUGCGUCGCCUAUUUCUUUCAGGCCACCAGGAGGAACCGUGGCAGACCGAAGGCGCCCCUGGGACUGGCGGGGGACGUCAGAGCCUCUGGCCCUCAGUCGCUCUGUGGAGGGAGACAGCGGGGCUUCUCUCAUGCCCUUCGCAAAGUAGGUGCUUUCGCUUAAUCAUAAAGAAAUCCAGAAGCCCCUCUUGUG
RNAcentral lists this long non-coding RNA (979 nucleotides) under Salvator merianae (Argentine black and white tegu). Its description in RNAcentral is "lncRNA (ENSSMRG00000001397.1)". The record is from RNAcentral. Lineage: Eukaryota; Metazoa; Chordata; Lepidosauria; Squamata; Teiidae.